This is a non-coding RNA of Marasmius tenuissimus, 99 nucleotides long. Lineage: Eukaryota; Fungi; Basidiomycota; Agaricomycetes; Agaricales; Marasmiaceae. The record is from the annotation of a GenBank genome assembly.
UGCCCCAUGGCUGAGUUGGUUACAGCGUCCGACUGUUACUUAUACUUAAACGAGUUGCGGUCAAUCGGAAGGUCGUGAGUUCGAGCCUCACUGGGGCAG